RNAcentral lists this long non-coding RNA (1644 nucleotides) under Podarcis lilfordi (Lilford's wall lizard). The record is from RNAcentral. Lineage: Eukaryota; Metazoa; Chordata; Lepidosauria; Squamata; Lacertidae.
CUUGCCAUCCUUCUUAUCAAGUAUAUUGCUUGUUUAUGACCCUCCGGGGUUGCUGGAUGCACUCCUUUGUAGUUCUGUUUUAUUUACCCCAGAAGUGCAUGCUUAGUUAGCUUUUGUAGUGUAACUUUGUCCCCACGUGGGGUUUGUUGAAAUGCUCAGAGGAAAUCUGAUUGGUUCUUACGAACACAGUGCAAAAAGUUCUUUUGUGAAUAAAACGACCUGGGCCAGAGGGUUGACGGGAAUUAUUAUUAUACGCACCCUUCCCAGAGUCUUGCUGGUUCAAGCCUCUGUGUGUAUUCUUAUUAAUCAGAGUUCAAUUCUUCCUUUACUUUGGGAAUGCCUCACCAUUGAUCCUGCUGGCUGCUCCCGGCUUCCUGUUUCCGGCGGUGGGAAAUGGCAGACUCCCACAAGAUCGGACCCCAGCCGUUCCGAUAAUUCAGGGCUGAUACGGGGGUAAUUAGCCCUGGCAGCCUCAAAGACCCGUGGAUUGUCCAAGAUUGCCGGCGUGCACUAAGGUGCAGCCGGCAGGACACUGGGUCAAAGAGCAUGGAACGACUGGCACUCCUUCAAUGUCAUUCUCAUAGCCAGGAGCAUCUGUUUGGGAAUAUUAAUAGAUUUGGACGAUAAACAGACACGGCUGGAUUGAAGGAGCGUGAGGAAAAGCCUGCAGAAGUGUACAGUUCCUGGGGGUUAAGUUCGGACUUCAAAGAGAUUCUCAUCAUGGUGUUUGGAUUACGUUUGGUAUGUUUUUUUCUCCUCUCUCUACUCAACAAUUAUAAUUGGUCUUUUAUGCCAAGCCUCAUGAAGAAUUUAAACUAAGAAAAAAAAAGAGUACAGAUGGACUUUUAUUUAUAAUUAGGCAUUUAACCGCUCAGCUUCAUUUCGGAUUUGAGAGAUCUGACAGAGAUGCAGGAAGAGACACGAUGGUUUCCACUAGUUUCUACUAGUGACGCAGCAUGAAAUUUUAUAUCUCUUCCUUUCUUUGAGACAAGAGGAGCUGUGUGCUGACUUUGUGAUGAAUCAAGAUAACAACUUGGAACAAUAUACAGUGCAGCUGUUUGCAGAAGCUUUUUAUAUUCAUUAUGAGUAAAGAAAAGGCUAAGGGAUGUCUAGCAGCCCCACCCCCCGGGCCCAGAGUGGGGAAAGUGCGGUUUCCAAAGGCCGAUUGAUCGCCAAAUGACUGAUACUGUGGAACACAGUUUAAUAUUGCAAACACUUUUGCCUAAUAAUUUGGAAAGUACUGGUUUAACAAAGUUCAAAAGGAAGGUUGGACAAUUAAGGAGUUGCUGCGCUAUCAAAGAUAACAGACUUGGACAACAUCCCGGAAUUGGAACGGAAUCAGAUGAAGCUGAGCUGAGAAAAAGGCAGUUGGAAAAAUUUUAUAUUAACAAAGUUGUAUUCGGACGAUGAAAAUAUAUGGUGUUUGACAUGAAUGAGAAUCCUGGACACAGGGACAAAAAAUGAUCAAGCGUUAAUAUCGAGAUGUGGAAAAUAUGGAAACGACAAGGAGAAGCAGGACUAAGAUGCGGAGAUAUGCUCCAGAGAUCCAGACCGUGGGGAGCCCCAAGAAAUUAAUAAAUACGAUUUGGACUAUAAUUUGAUCUUUUUUAUUUAGUUUUUUUAGUUUUUAAUUGAAGUAUUAUG